UACGUAGGGUGCGAGCGUUGUCCGGAAUUACUGGGCGUAAAGCGUGCGCAGGCGGUUCGCUGUGUCCUGUGUGAAAGCCCCGGGCUUAACCUGGGAAUGGCAUGGGAAACUGGCGGGCUGGAGUGUGGCAGAGGGGGGUGGAAUUCCGCGUGUAGCAGUGAAAUGCGUAGAGAUGCGGAGGAACACCGAUGGCGAAGGCAGCCCCCUGGGCUAACACUGACGCUCAGGCACGAAAGCGUGGGGAGCAAACAGG
This 253-nucleotide ribosomal RNA is filed under the name uncultured bacterium. RNAcentral describes it as "partial 16S ribosomal RNA". It matches the Rfam family "Bacterial small subunit ribosomal RNA", at positions 524 to 776 of the family's 1533-position model. The record is from RNAcentral.